GCUCGGCGGCGUCUGCAACCAGUUCCAGGCGGACGGCUUUACCUUCGAUAUGGGGCCGUCCUGGUAUCUGAUGCCGGAUGUCUUCGAGAGCUUCUUCCGUCUGCUGGGAGAGGACGUAGCCGAUCAUCUGGACCUGGUCAAGCUGAGCCCGUCGUACCGUAUCUUUUUCAAGGACACGGGCCGGC
This 185-nucleotide unclassified non-coding RNA is filed under the name plant metagenome. RNAcentral's name for it is "partial contains 5.8S ribosomal RNA, internal transcribed spacer 2, and large subunit ribosomal RNA". The record is from RNAcentral.